UACGUAGGGGGCAAGCGUUGUCCGGAUUUAUUGGGCGUAAAGCGUCUGUAGGUGGCUUUUUAAGUCCGCCGUCAAAUCCCAGGGCUCAACUCUGGACAGGCGGUGGAAACUACCAAGCUGGAGUACGGUAGGGGCAGAGGGAAUUUCCGGUGGAGCGGUGAAAUGCGUAGAGAUCGGAAAGAACACCAACGGCGAAAGCGCUCUGCUGGGCCGACACUGACACUGAGAGACGAAAGCUAGGGGAGCGAAUGGG
This 253-nucleotide ribosomal RNA is filed under the name uncultured bacterium. RNAcentral's name for it is "partial 16S ribosomal RNA". It matches the Rfam family "Bacterial small subunit ribosomal RNA", at positions 524 to 776 of the family's 1533-position model. The record is from RNAcentral.